AAGAGAAGAGAAACUACAGAUAUACGAGGAGACGGAGAGACUCAGGGAGGAGCUGAGCUGUUACUGAACUAUAGAAGAGAGAGGAACUUCUAGAUUCAACAGAGAUCAAUACACACACCAUCAACAUUACCUUUAUUCAACAUGCUGCCACUGCAGCAUUGGGGGUUUUCUCUAAUGUUUCUCUCCAUCCUCACAGGUAUCAGCGGUGAAGAACUCACUCCAGUAGAGAAAGAAGAGAACAGUUUAGAAGACAGCUCUGCUACUCUGUCCUACAGAUACUCCAGACAAGCAAAAUAUGAUGAUUAUUUCUUCUGGUAUCGACAAUAUCCAGGAAAACCACCAGGGUUUAUCAUCUCUCAUUCAGGAACAG
Long non-coding RNA from Etheostoma cragini (Arkansas darter), 370 nucleotides. RefSeq lists it as uncharacterized. NCBI's taxonomy places the organism in Eukaryota, Metazoa, Chordata, Actinopteri, Perciformes, Percidae. The transcript has 2 exons. The record is from RefSeq and is a predicted model, not a curated record.